This 84-nucleotide transfer RNA is filed under the name Methanobacteriota archaeon. RNAcentral's name for it is "Euryarchaeota archaeon tRNA-Leu". It matches the Rfam family "tRNA". From Rfam's summary of the family: Transfer RNA (tRNA) molecules are approximately 80 nucleotides in length. Their secondary structure includes four short double-helical elements and three loops (D, anti-codon, and T loops). Lineage: Archaea; Methanobacteriati; Methanobacteriota. The record is from RNAcentral.
GGUAGCAUUCCCGAGUCCGGUCAAAGGGGUAUGACUCAAGUUCAUAUGCGUCACGCUUCGAGGGUUCAAAUCCCUCUGCUACCA